AAGUGAUUAAUAAUUAAAUCGGUGUCUAAAAACAUCAACCUUUAGCUUCAGCUUGCUGUAAGCGAUAGGUCAGCAGCUUUAAAGCUCGGUGAUUGGAUGCUUUAAUCGCAGUGCACCUUGGGAGUCGUAGUAAACGUGAUUCAUGUCGGGACUCUGGAACAUCCUUAACUGACUCUUGCCAGACCCAGAAUGACAAAGCCCAAAACAAGGCCGUGCCCCUCCUGUCAGGUCCCAAAUUCCCUUGUGAGGAAGACCUGUGUCCAGUGUGUGAGCACUCUUAAAAUUAAUGAAGAAUUUCAAAAAAAAAAAAAGCAAAGCUGGAGGACAGUGAGUGGGCAUCAUCCGUCAAAAAAAACAGGAACUCCAGCAGGAUCAUCAAGUCGGCCCAGCUAUCUGUUUUAAAACUAAAUGCCCUUGGACACUCACUGCCCCCUUUUAUUUACUGGGCAUCAGGGCCGCAAUGGGGAGAUCUACGGGGACAUGUUCCACCACAUCUCCCAAACUGAUGGGGUUGUCCAGGACAUCAUCAAAAAAAUGAAAAAACUUUAUGAGCACCUCCUGAAAAAGUUGUUUGCUCCACAAGCAGCUGGGACACCGGCUGGUCCUGUGCCCCUGGUGGACAACUGUCCACCUGCCCCCCCUAUGGACAACCAGUCCAGAGCACAAGCAGGACCAGAAGAGGAAGAAGAAUUAGUUGUUCUUCACCUUCUACCUGUCAUUUCCUCCUCUACUCAGCUUCUUCCUUCAUCCCCCUUCUCCUCUCAGCCUCCUCCUCCUCCUUCCAUCUCUCAGCCUCCUCCAUCCUCCUUCUCCUCUCAGUCUCCUCCUCCUCCUUCCUUCUCUCA
Long non-coding RNA from Acanthopagrus latus (yellowfin seabream), 845 nucleotides. RefSeq lists it as uncharacterized. The transcript is spliced from 4 exons. NCBI's taxonomy places the organism in Eukaryota, Metazoa, Chordata, Actinopteri, Spariformes, Sparidae. The record is from RefSeq and is a predicted model, not a curated record.